ACGCUGGCGGCACGCCUAACACAUGCAAGUCGAACGAAGUAGCAAUACUUAGUGGCAGACGGGUGAGUAACAUGUAGGUAUCUGCCCUUUGGCCUGGAAUAACACGAGGAAACUUGUGCUAAUACCGGAUAAGUCUUUACGGAGAAAGCUUUAUGCACCAUUGGAUGAGCCUGCACUUGAUUAGUUUGUUGGUGGGGUAAUGGCCUACCAAGACUGUGAUCAAUAGCUGAUUUGAGAGGAUGAUCAGCCACAUUGGGACUGAGACACGGCCCAAACUCCUACGGGAGGCAGCAGUGGGGAAUCUUGCACAAUGGAGGAAACUCUGGUGCAGCGAUGCCGCGUGAGUGAAGAAGGCCUUUGGGUUGUAAAGCUCUUUCGUCGGGGAAGAAAAUGACUGUACCCGAAUAAGAAGGUCCGGCUAACUUCGUGCCAGCAGCCGCGGUAAUACGAAGGGACCUAGCGUAGUUCGGAAUUACUGGGCUUAAAGAGUUCGUAGGUGGUUGAAAAAGUUAGUGGUGAAAUCCCAGAGCUUAACUCUGGAACUGCCAUUAAAACUUUUCAGCUAGAGUAUGAUAGAGGAAAGCAGAAUUUCUAGUGUAGAGGUGAAAUUCGUAGAUAUUAGAAAGAAUACCAAUUGCGAAGGCAGCUUUCUGGAUCAUUACUGACACUGAGGAACGAAAGCAUGGGUAGCGAAGAGGAUUAGAUACCCUCGUAGUCCAUGCCGUAAACGAUGUGUGUUAGACGUUGGAAAUUUAUUUUCAGUGUCGCAGGGAAACCGAUAAACACACCGCCUGGGGAGUACGACCGCAAGGUUAAAACUCAAAUGAAUUGACGGGGACCCGCACAAGUAGUGGAGCAUGUGGUUUAAUUCGAAGAUACGCGCAGAACCUUACCAACACUUGACAUGUUCGUCGCGACUCUAAGAGAUUAGAGUUUUCGGUUCGGCCGGACGAAACACAGGUGCUGCAUGGCUGUCGUCAGCUCGUGUCGUGAGAUGUUGGGUUAAGUCCCGCAACGAGCGCAACCCUCACUUUUAGUUGCCAUCAUUAAGUUGGGCACUCUGAAAGAACUGCCAGUGAUAAGCUGGAGGAAGGUGGGGAUGACGUCAAGUCCUCAUGGCCCUUACGUGUUGGGCUACACACGUGCUACAAUGGUAUCUACAACAGGAAGCAAGACUGCGAAGUUAAGCAAAUCCCGAAAAGAUACCUCAGUUCGGAUUGCACUCUGCAACUCGAGUGCAUGAAGCUGGAAUUACUAGUAAUCGUAGAUCAGCGUGCUACGGUGAAUGCGUUCCCGGGUCUUGUACACACCGCCCG
RNAcentral lists this ribosomal RNA (1316 nucleotides) under uncultured Alphaproteobacteria bacterium. Its description in RNAcentral is "uncultured alpha proteobacterium 16S ribosomal RNA". It matches the Rfam family "Bacterial small subunit ribosomal RNA", at positions 33 to 1396 of the family's 1533-position model. Lineage: Bacteria; Pseudomonadati; Pseudomonadota; Alphaproteobacteria. The record is from RNAcentral.